CACGUAGGGGGCGAGCGUUGUCCGGAAUCAUUGGGCGUAAAGAGCUCGUAGGCGGCUCGGUAAGUCGGGUGUGAAACCCCCAGGCUCAACCUGGGGACGCCACCCGAUACUGCUGUGGCUAGAGUCCAGUAGGGGAGUGUGGAAUUCCCGGUGUAGCGGUGAAAUGCGCAGAUAUCGGGAGGAACACCGGUGGCGAAGGCGGGAUCCUGGGCCAGUACUGACGCUGAGGAGCGAAAGCGUGGGGAGCAAACAGG
Molecule: ribosomal RNA, 254 nt
Filed under: uncultured bacterium
Lineage: Bacteria
Description: partial 16S ribosomal RNA
Rfam family: Bacterial small subunit ribosomal RNA
Source: RNAcentral